RNAcentral lists this transfer RNA (77 nucleotides) under Pseudotabrizicola algicola. RNAcentral describes it as "tRNA-Met". It matches the Rfam family "tRNA". Rfam says of the family: Transfer RNA (tRNA) molecules are approximately 80 nucleotides in length. Their secondary structure includes four short double-helical elements and three loops (D, anti-codon, and T loops). Lineage: Bacteria; Pseudomonadati; Pseudomonadota; Alphaproteobacteria; Rhodobacterales; Paracoccaceae. The record is from RNAcentral.
UGUCGGGGUAGCUCAGUCGGUAGAGCGCCGGGCUCAUAAUCCGGAAGUCGCAGGUUCAAGUCCUGCCCCCGCAACCA